GAUCCUGGCUCAGAUUGAACGCUGGCGGCAGGCCUAACACAUGCAAGUCGAGCGGAUGAAGAGAGCUUGCUCUCUGAUUCAGCGGCGGACGGGUGAGUAAUGCCUAGGAAUCUGCCUGAUAGUGGGGGACAACGUUUCGAAAGGAACGCUAGUACCGCAUACGUCCUACGGGAGAAAGCAGGGGACCUUCGGGCCUUGCGCUAUCAGAUGAGCCUAGGUCGGAUUAGCUAGUUGG
RNAcentral lists this ribosomal RNA (235 nucleotides) under uncultured bacterium. Its description in RNAcentral is "partial 16S ribosomal RNA". It matches the Rfam family "Bacterial small subunit ribosomal RNA", at positions 15 to 252 of the family's 1533-position model. The record is from RNAcentral.